GUGAUUAAUUUAACGGCCGCGGUACUCUAACCGCGCAAAGGUAGCAUAAUUAAUUGUCCUCUAAAUAAGGACUAGUAUGAAUGGCGCCACGAGGGUUUAACUGUCUCCCCACUUUAAUCAAUGAAAUUAAUCUUCCCGUGAAAAAGCGGAAAUAUAAUUAUAAGACGAAAAGACCCCAUGGAGCUUUAAACUUAUUAUCACUUAUCAUAACUUUAUAACAACUCACAUGAUAAAGAUGCUCUUAAAUAGUUUUCGGUUGGGGCGACCCUGGAGAAAAAUAAAUCCUCCAGAUUGAAAGCAAUAACCCUUACACAAGAACUAC
This 322-nucleotide ribosomal RNA is filed under the name Hyperolius cinnamomeoventris (cinnamon-bellied reed frog). RNAcentral's name for it is "partial 16S ribosomal RNA". It matches the Rfam family "Bacterial large subunit ribosomal RNA", at positions 1915 to 2407 of the family's 2925-position model. Lineage: Eukaryota; Metazoa; Chordata; Amphibia; Anura; Hyperoliidae. The record is from RNAcentral.